AAAGCGUAACGGAGGAGCACGAAGGUUAGCUAAUCCUGGUCGGACAUCAGGAGGUUAGUGCAAUGGCAUAAGCUAGCUUGACUGCGAGCGUGACGGCGCGAGCAGGUGCGAAAGCAGGUCAUAGUGAUCCGGUGGUUCUGAAUGGAAGGGCCAUCGCUCAACGGAUAAAAGGUACUCCGGGGAUAACAGGCUGAUACCGCCCAAGAGUUCAUAUCGACGGCGGUGUUUGGCACCUCGAUGUCGGCUCAUCACAUCCUGGGGCUGAAGUAGGUCCCAAGGGUAUGGCUGUUCGCCAUUUAAAGUGGUACGCGAGCUGGGUUUAGAACGUCGUGAGACAGUUCGGUCCCUAUCUGCCGUGGGCGCUGGAGAAUUGAGGGGGGCUGCUCCUAGUACGAGAGGACCGGAGUGGACGCAUCACUGGUGUUCGGGUUGUCAUGCCAAUGGCACUGCCCGGUAGCUAAAUGCGGAAGAGAUAAGUGCUGAAAGCAUCUAAGCACGAAACUUGCCCCGAGAUGAGUUCUCCCUGAGACUUUAAGUCUCCUGAAGGAACGUU
RNAcentral lists this ribosomal RNA (553 nucleotides) under Klebsiella pneumoniae. RNAcentral's name for it is "bacterial LSU rRNA". It matches the Rfam family "Bacterial large subunit ribosomal RNA", at positions 2292 to 2839 of the family's 2925-position model. The record is from RNAcentral. Lineage: Bacteria; Pseudomonadati; Pseudomonadota; Gammaproteobacteria; Enterobacterales; Enterobacteriaceae. RNAcentral also lists the same sequence under 1 other name.